Molecule: long non-coding RNA, 940 nt
Organism: Danio aesculapii
Lineage: Eukaryota; Metazoa; Chordata; Actinopteri; Cypriniformes; Danionidae
Exons: 4
Source: RefSeq, a predicted model, not a curated record
CUGGCGCUGGCGGACGCGCGUGCACGCGAAGGGGAGUCAGAUUAGUCCGGGAGUCAGAUUUCGAUACAACACCCUGUUGCUGACUUUUCAGAGGGAUCACUCCUGUUUUGUAAAUUAUGAUGACAAUAAACAGGGCGUUCAUAGUAAUUCUUUUCCUCAUUCAUGGUGUCUGUAGUGGUAUAUUCAAGAAAUUCCCAGAGCAGCAUGGAGGAUCUGUCUUUCUGGACACUGCAGGUAAUGCAGAAUGUGAAAAUGGGGUUGUGUAGAAAGUCAGAGAAAAAGGAGUGCAUGGCGUUCAGCAGGAGUCCCAUCGCAAAGUGUUUGGGGAAAAGUGUGGCUUGACCUAAUUCAAUGAGCUCCUCCUGGCUUAGUCUGUUUCUCGUUUGCUGAUCCAGGAUGAUAAUGUGUCCAACUCAAGCUGUAGAUAGCUGGGAUAAGUGCACAUCAACAGAAUAGAUCCAAAAAUAAACAAUGCAAAUAUGGAUAAAACCCAAUGUGAGCCAAUCAGAUAAGGAGCUGAAUAACUCCCCUAUCACAUACACUGAUCUGGGAACUCCCAUUCAUUCAGAGAAUUAACAGAAACAUAUUUGGAGAAACGGGGCAGCACAGUGGCACAGUGGGUAGCACGUUCGCCUUACAGCAAGAAGGUUGCUGGUUUGAACCCCGGCUGAGUCAGUUGGCAUUUCUGUGUGGAGUUUGCAUGUUCUCCCCGUGUUGGCGUGGGUUUUCUCCGGGUGCUCCGGUUUCCCCACAAAUCCAAACACAUGCGCUAUAGGUGAAUUGACCCUUCGCUAAGCCCCGCCCUCCUUAUUUACUGUUGGUACGCCUGUCAAGCUUUCAAUUAGUAUAUAAUUAGUCAUUUUUUGGGAACAGCUGACAUAUCCGAGAAAGCCAGAUAAAAAAGGACUGCAGUAUGCAUUACAUGAGUGUAUUAACGACA